RNAcentral lists this ribosomal RNA (468 nucleotides) under uncultured bacterium. RNAcentral's name for it is "partial 16S ribosomal RNA". It matches the Rfam family "Bacterial small subunit ribosomal RNA", at positions 28 to 507 of the family's 1533-position model. The record is from RNAcentral.
GACGAACGCUGGCGGCGUGCUUAACACAUGCAAGUCGAACGGAAAGGCCCUGCUUUUGUGGGGUGCUCGAGUGGCGAACGGGUGAGUAACACGUGAGUAACCUGCCCUUGACUUUGGGAUAACUUCAGGAAACUGGGGCUAAUACCGGAUAGGAGCUCCUGCUGCAUGGUGGGGGUUGGAAAGUUUCGGCGGUUGGGGAUGGACUCGCGGCUUAUCAGCUUGUUGGUGGGGUAGUGGCUUACCAAGUCUUUGACGGGUAGCCGGCCUGAGAGGGUGACCGGCGACAUUGGGACUGAGAUACGGCCCAGACUCCUACGGGAGGAAGCAGUGGGGAAUAUUGCACAAUGGGAGGGAGCCUGAUGCAGCAACGCCGAGUGCGGGAUAACGGCCUUCGGGUUGUAAACCGCUUUCGCCUGUGACGAAGAGUGAGUGACGGUAAUGGGUAAAGAAGCACCGGCUAACUACGUG